Molecule: non-coding RNA, 905 nt
Organism: Salvelinus sp. IW2-2015
Lineage: Eukaryota; Metazoa; Chordata; Actinopteri; Salmoniformes; Salmonidae
Source: the annotation of a RefSeq genome assembly
CCACUGUUGAGGGACAUAAACCACCGUGUAAGUGAGUCAAAGUAGGCCUCAUUUAAGAUACAGUUGUUAUAUUGUGUGGUUUAUGAUUUCAGUAUUCUCAAAUGUAAUAUACAGUAGGCCUACCUUUGGAAACGGUUGACUUAUUUUAUCUGUGUGGUGUAUUUGUGUGAAAUAUUGGGGUUUUGCAUAUCUGUCCUGCCUCACUGCUCCACAUACUUUUAAAACCCCAGUGUUGAUCAGUGACUGUUCACUCCUUUCASAGCCACUGACACGCAGCACAAUGAUGAUGUCACUGAUUCUACUGCUGGGGACACUGGGGCUCCUUGUUCAGGAAUCAUCAGCAGAUAUAAUUCUUACUCAGUCUCCUAAAUCUCAGUCUGUUCGCCCAGGAGAGUCUGUCUCUAUCAGCUGUACAGCCAGUUCAWGMACUGGUAAUGCGCUUAGCUGGUACCUYCAGAAACCUGGAGAAGRUCCUAAACUCCUSGUUUAUKKUGGUACAAKCCGUCAGUCUGGGAUUCCAGGUCGUUUCAGUGGGAGUGGAUCUGGUAGUUCAUAUACUCAUUACACUCUGACCAUCAGUGGAGUCCAGGCUGAAGAUGCAGCAGAUUACUACUGUCAGCAGGGUGMCAGCWRUCCGUUCACACAGUGUUAGAGCGCCGUACAAAAACCUCCUUCAGCUAAAGAGGAACUGCUCUGACUCAACASCUGCAGAGCUACAGAGUCUCCRGUAUUCUAGUAUUCUAAACACCAAUUCUUUUAAAUAUGACACAUACUGUACAUAWCGCUCAAUAUAUUCUGCAAACAUGUUAAAUCUUUGUAAACARACUGGGACCACUAAGGAUACAGAGCUGUAGAAAAMGCUUUCUUUUGAAGGACAUGUUAAGCAAAYUUCAGAAUAYGUUUAG